GUAGGUGGGCAAGCGUUGUCCGGAAUUAUUGGGCGUAAAGCGCGCGCGGGCGGGUUCUUUAAGUCUGAUGUGAAAGCCCACGGGCUCAACCGUGGAGGGUCAUUGGAAACUGGAGAACUUGAGUACAGAAGAGGAAAGCGGAAUUCCACGUGUAGCGGUGAAAUGCGUAGAGAUGUGGAGGAACACCAGUGGCGAAGGCGGCUUUCUGGUCUGUAACUGACGCUGAGGCGCGAAAGCGUGGGGAGCAAACAGGAUUAGAUACCCUGGUAGUCCACGCCGUAAACGAUGAGUGCUAAGUGUUAGGGGGUUUCCGCCCCUUAGUGCUGCAGCUAACGCAUUAAGCACUCCGCCUGGGGAGUACGGCCGCAAGGCUG
Molecule: ribosomal RNA, 374 nt
Filed under: uncultured organism
Description: partial 16S ribosomal RNA
Rfam family: Bacterial small subunit ribosomal RNA
Source: RNAcentral